GGGGGGGGCAAGCGUUGUUCGGAAUUACUGGGCGUAAAGGGCGCGUAGGCUGUCCCGCAAGUCCUCCGUGAAAUCCCACAGCUCAACUGUGGAAUUGCGAGGGAAACUGCAGGACUUGAGUUCGGGAGAGGAGAGUGGAAUUCCCAGUGUAGCGGUGAAAUGCGUAGAUAUUGGGAGGAACACCGGUGGCGAAGGCGGCUCUCUGGACCGACACUGACGCUGAGGCGCGAAAGCUAGGGGAGCAAACGGGAUUAGAUACCCCGGUAGUCCUAGCCCUAAACGAUGAGCACUUGGUGUGGCGGGUAUCGACCCCUGCCGUGCCGAAGCUAACGCAUUAAGUGCUCCGCCUGGGGAGUACGGUCGCAAAGGCUG
Molecule: ribosomal RNA, 372 nt
Filed under: uncultured organism
Description: partial 16S ribosomal RNA
Rfam family: Bacterial small subunit ribosomal RNA
Source: RNAcentral